RNAcentral lists this small nuclear RNA (24 nucleotides) under Arabidopsis thaliana (thale cress). RNAcentral describes it as "snRNA_01245". Lineage: Eukaryota; Viridiplantae; Streptophyta; Magnoliopsida; Brassicales; Brassicaceae. The record is from RNAcentral.
GAAAACCCGCUUAUAUUCAAAGUU